GGGGAUGUGGCUCAAGUGGUAGAGCGCUUGCCUAGCAUGCAUGAGGCCCUGGGUUCAAUCCUCAGCACCA
RNAcentral lists this transfer RNA (70 nucleotides) under Urocitellus parryii (Arctic ground squirrel). Its description in RNAcentral is "Spermophilus parryii (Arctic ground squirrel) tRNA". It matches the Rfam family "tRNA". Rfam says of the family: Transfer RNA (tRNA) molecules are approximately 80 nucleotides in length. Their secondary structure includes four short double-helical elements and three loops (D, anti-codon, and T loops). The record is from Rfam by way of RNAcentral. Lineage: Eukaryota; Metazoa; Chordata; Mammalia; Rodentia; Sciuridae. RNAcentral also lists the same sequence under 2 other names.